AUUGAACGCUGGCGGAAUGCUUUACACAUGCAAGUCGAGCGGCAGCACGGGGGCAACCCUGGUGGCGAGCGGCGAACGGGUGAGUAAUACAUCGGAACAUGCCCAGUCGUGGGGGAUAACACCUCGAAAGAAGUGCUAAUACCGCAGACGUCCUGAGGGGGAAAGCGGGGGAUCGCAAGACCUCGCGCGCUGGGAGGGGCGGACGUCAGAUUAGCCAGUUGGUGGGUGAGAGGCCUACCAAGGCAACGAUGGGUAGCUGGUCGGAGAGGGUGAGCGGCCACAUGGGGACUGAGAGACGGCCCAGACGGCUACGGGAGGCAGAAGGGGGGAAUAUUGCACAAUGGGCGGAAGCCGGAUGCAGCAACGCCGGGGGCGGGAUGACGGCCUGCGGGUUGGAAAACGCUUGCGGCUGAGACGAAGCGGGAGUGACGGUAAUGGGUAAAGAAGCACCGGCUAACUACGUG
RNAcentral lists this ribosomal RNA (464 nucleotides) under uncultured bacterium. RNAcentral's name for it is "partial 16S ribosomal RNA". It matches the Rfam family "Bacterial small subunit ribosomal RNA", at positions 29 to 507 of the family's 1533-position model. The record is from RNAcentral.